AACGAACGCUGGCGGCAUGCCUAACACAUGCAAGUCGAACGAGACCUUCGGGUCUAGUGGCGCACGGGUGCGUAACGCGUGGGAACCUGCCCUUAGGUUCGGAAUAACUCCCCGAAAGGGGUUCUAAUACCGGAUAAUGUCUUCGGACCAAAGAUUUAUCGCCUUUGGAUGGGCCCGCGUUGGAUUAGCUAGUUGGUAGGGUAAAAGCCUACCAAGGCGACGAUCCAUAGCUGGUCUGAGAGGAUGAUCAGCCACACUGGGACUGAGACACGGCCCAGACUCCUACGGGAGGCAGCAGAGGGGAAUAUUGGACAAUGGGCGAAAGCCUGAUCCAGCAAUGCCGCGUGAGUGAUGAAGGCCUUAGGGUUGUAAAGCUCUUUUACCCGGGAUGAUAAUGACAGUACCGGGAGAAUAAGCUCCGGCUAACUCCGUG
This 433-nucleotide ribosomal RNA is filed under the name uncultured bacterium. Its description in RNAcentral is "partial 16S ribosomal RNA". It matches the Rfam family "Bacterial small subunit ribosomal RNA", at positions 29 to 507 of the family's 1533-position model. The record is from RNAcentral.